This is an RNA transcript of Conger conger (European conger), 5400 nucleotides long. It is a transcript of the gene named GTPase IMAP family member 8-like, with no coding region annotated. The record is from RefSeq and is a predicted model, not a curated record. The transcript has 6 exons. Lineage: Eukaryota; Metazoa; Chordata; Actinopteri; Anguilliformes; Congridae.
CUUACUUUCUGCUUUCCUCGCUAGGUAAUGUUGUAUAGCACUAUUCUUACUAACAACUACUAAUUUAGCUAUUGUAGAGUAAUAAUUAUAUUGAUAUACUUACUGUCUCUCUAACUAGUGAACUAACAGUCGCUUAUUUUGGGUAGUUUAGAUUUAAUCACGUAACUAACUUACUAACGAUAUCUCCUAUUGCUCAUGCUGUUCUGCAGCUCCGCCUUCCUAUCCUGUCCCUGAUUACUUGCUUAGUUUCAGCGAAGUGUUCGCACCUGUCUCUCGCUGUGACUACGCCAACUACUCAAUGCAAAUUUCCUCUCCCUAAUAUGGAGCCGUAUGUUUUACGUGUUGGUCUAUGUGUACCCAGUUCACGUUUUCGUCUCCAACCUUGUUUUUGUAUUAUUGUCCGUCAUGUCCCUCACCUGUUGUUUAAUUGUUUCGCACUCUCCUCACUCCAGUACCCCGCCUAGUAGGCUAUGUCACUUCCCUUCAUGUAUUUAAACCCCAGUCUUGGAUAGCGUCCUUGUCAGAACGUUCACGUAUCAUAUUUGGGGUUGCCGAUUCUGAGUUGAUUGUGGUUUGUUUGUUUUCAUCUUCGCUUCGUGUUUUUUGACCUUCCGCUUGACUUAUCCCUUGUACCUCUGCAUAUCUGCCUUUUUGGAUUUUUACCUUUGAUUAUUUUCUCACCACUUAUUUUGCUACUCGAGUUGACUUUGUGUUUAUUGGAAUACCUGGCUUGAUUAUUGGACUGUAAAUAACGACGAUUCUGAUUAUCCCUGGGUCUGCGCUUGGGUCUCUGACUGUACGUAACAAUUCCUGUGUCCAAUGAUAUAGGCUAUGUUUUGGUUCUCUUCCCUGUCGAUUGAAAUGUGUGUGUGUAUAUUUUCCCUUUUACCUUUCUUAAAGUAAAACGCACGGUAGCGCGUCACUUUUGAAAGUUGAAAUGGAUAUUUCACUUUGGUCUGACCCAGGUAAAUCUGUGGAGCUCACACCAUUAUAUUUGAAUAUUGUGUACCAACAUCUAAUUACUGAGGACAAGAGAUUAAAUCAGCCUAACGCCAUAACACCAAAGAACCGGUUGGAUAACUUUGACUCAAAGUUUGAGGAAUGUGAAUAGCAGGCAGUGUUUUACGUGUUCGUAGCUUGGUUAAAUUACACGCAAAGUCAAUGUUGUAAUAUAAUAUGGUGUAAUAUAGCAUCCCUCCUUAUACUGCAUCAACACUGAACAGUGUAAUCUCGCACCUCUCUUUUUACUACAAUAGAAUGGACCACUGUCACAUACUUGGGCAAAGUUGUGGGACGCGGACAGGUACGUCCGGUGGACUCUAAGGUGGAGGCUGUGGUUAAAUUCCCAGCUCCCAAAUCGCGCCGCGAGUUGCGGAGGUUCUUGGGGAUGGUAGGUUACUACCGCAACUUCUGCAGAAACUUUUCUGCAGUCGCCUCACCGUUGACCGACCUUCUCAGUCCUAAGACCGUUUACGCUUGGACUGACCAGUGCCAACGAUCGUUUGAGAACGUGAAAGCUUUGCUAGUCAGCACGCCAGUUCUCUCUGCUCCCGAUUUUACCCAUCCUUUCAAACUUACAGUGGAUGCAAGCGACUGUGGGGCCGGAGCCGUUCUUCUGCAAGAAGACACUCUUGGUGUCGACCACCCAGUGUGCUACUUCUCGAGGAAAUUUGACCGACAUCAGCGGCUAUAUUCCACAAUUGAAAAAGAAGCUUUAGCCCUGGUUCUGGCUUUACAGCACUUUGAUGUGUAUGUUGGUUCCUCAUUACGCCCCGUCGUUAUACAGACGGAUCAUAAUCCGCUUGUCUUUCUUCACCGUAUGCGUAAUCAUAACCAACGUCUUAUGCGGUGGAGCUUAUUCCUGCAAGGUUAUGAUUUGGACAUUCGACACAUCCGCGGGCGGGAUAAUGUUGUCGCCGACGCAUUGUCCCGUACAUACGAAUGUGACAAUAAAUAAGGAUGUAUUUAUUGUCUUAAGGGUGGGGGUGUUACAUCCCAGUGUAUUAUAAGGUUAGAUCUAGGGAUGUAAUUUUAAGGGUACUGUUUGGAGUUUUUGGCUGGGUAUUGUCGCGUGCUGGUUUUUCCCUAUACAGGUAGGAGUGCAUCCUGUUGCCGGGUGACCUGCCUUGGUGGAUGCCCAUGACGACCGUCGCGGAGGAACCACCUGGCCAUGCAGAUGCUGCGGAGACCAGGAUGCCUUUACGUCGCCCGGAGACGAGGGAUCGCGGCGCGACUAUAUAACGGCUGGACGUCGUCAUCUCAUCGGAAUCGCCAUUUGAAUAAUCUUCUUGAGACUCAUCUACUUUGAGCCAUAUUCUCUUCUCGCUCUCCCUUUUGGUUAUUUAGGUUUACCACUUUUAGCUAUUAAUUAUCAAGACUAUAUAAUACUUUAUUUAGUCUCACAAGCCCAGCGUUUUCGGUUCUUCUUUUGGACUUACAAGAACCGACCAUCGGACGACCUUGGACCGCUGUAUGGACUGCCUGGAUCAGUGCUGCGGGAUCUACAGUCCUGUGAGAGUCUUUCAACCCCGAACAGCUGGAAUAAAUGCACUCAGCAAAAAGAGUGUGUGUGUGAGAGAGAUGGAGAGUGGAGAAAUGGAUACAGGUGGAUCAUCUGGUCAUGUUGGGGAAACACAACAUCUCUCUGAGCUGAGGAUUGUGUUGGUGGGAGCAGAGGUAUGUGGGAAGAGUUCAGCAGGAAACACCAUCUUGGGCAAACAGGUGUUUGCACCUGGAAUAAAAACUCUAGAGGGUAAGAAGGUGCAGGCUACCAUAGAUGGGAGGCAGGUCACUGUGGUGGACACACCUGGCUGGAUCUGUUAUUUUCCUGUUGAAGAUUCUCCAGAACUGCUGAAAGACCAGAUUUUGUGGAGUGUGUCUCUGUGUCCCCCUGGACCCCAUGCUUUCCUGCUGUUCAUAAAUCUGGACUCUUCAUUCCAAGAGAAACACAGGAUAGCAGUGCAGGAACACUUGGAGCUUCUCGGCGAAACAGUGUGGAGACACACUAUACUGCUGUUCAGCUUUGGGGACACUUUAAGGGAAAUGACUAUCAAGCAUCUGAUUGAAGGACAGGCCCUCCAGAUGCUAUUAGAGAAAUGUGGUAACAGGUACUAUGUUCUCAGCAAUAAGAACAGCAGUGGGGUCUCUCAGGUCUCAGAGCUACUGGAGAUGAUAGAGAAGAUGGUGGCAGGUAAUGGUGGCUGUCAUUUUCACAUGGGGAGGAAACUUCUACAGGACAUGGAGGAGAAAAGGAGGAUUACGGAAGAACGAGCCAAUCAGAGAGUAAGGAAGGUCCUGGAACACAGAGUGACACUCCAACGCCUCCUUAGAGGGGAUGCCACCCGUCCCUCAGAGCUGCGGAUGGUGCUUCUGGGGUGGGUGGCUGGGGGGAAGAGCUCGACAGGAAAUACCAUUCUGGGCAGAGAGGAGUUUGGAGUUUGGAAAAGAACCGCACAGUGUGAGAAGAAGCAAGGUGAAGUCAAUGGGAGGCAGGUCACUGUGGUUGACACACCUGCCUGGUGGAAGUUUAUGCCAGCUAAGCUCACACCUGAUUGGAUAAAAGAGGAAGCAAUGAAGGGGUUGACACUGUGUGACCCCGGACCCCAUGCAAUUCUACUGGUCAUUCCUGCAGACACAUCAUUUCAAGAAACACAAAGGAAAAUAAUUCGAGACAACAUGAAACACCUUGGAGAGAGAGUGUGGGGACACACUCUGGCGCUCUUCACCUGGGGGGAAAAGCUAGGAAACCACACCAUCGAGCAGCACAUAGAGAGAGAAGGACAGGCCCUCCAGUGGCUUAUAGAGAAAUGUGGGAACAGGUACCAUUUUCUCAGCAAUAAGGAAAGGGGGGAUAUCACCCAAGUCGCAAAGCUGCUGGAGAAGAUUGAGGAGAUGGUAGCAGGUCGAACUGUCCUUCCUCUCAAGACUGAGACACAAAGUGAAGUUAUGGAGGAGAUAGACGAGAAAGACAGAGAGACCAGGGGGGCUGAUCUCAGCACAGAGAAGCAGAAAGUAACAGAGCUGAUGAAAAUUAUUGAUGAACUCUGGGUCAAGAGAGAAGAACAUCUGUUGGAGCAACUGGGUUUGAAUUCUAAACAAAGUAGUGAAGUUCAGCAUCCUGCUGAUAUGCUAAAAGUGUUUGAAAAGGAAUGGAGCAGAACAGAAACAGGCUUGAAGCUGAAGAAAAUUAAUCAAGAAUGUACCACCACCCACAAUGAGGGAGACAUACUCUGUGGAUCAAAGAGUUUGGAAGAGGGGAGCACUCUUACAGAAGCAGCCAACAAGCCCAACAGUGGAUAGAGAGAGAGGAUGCUGCUUUUGAAAAGGAGUGGGGAAGGAGAGAAUGGAUGAUGUUCCAUCACUUUAAAAGGAUGAUGCAGGACACUGCCACACAACCUGUGAGGGGAGUGGGAAGCAUGGAUGAACCUCCAGACUUGUGUGCAGAGACAUCCUCAGAGCCUGACACCUCUCAUGUUGCAAGGGCCUGCAUCAAAGUGUGUGACUGGAUGAGUGAAAAGCAUCAUGGGAAUUCUGCUGCUGCAUCUGGAUAUGAAACAAGUUCUGAAAUCAGCAAGACAGAGGCCUCUGACAUCACAGAAAGAGACAAGGGACUAGAACACUGUGGGACUGCAGAUGCAUGAAACUGACCACAGUAAUAUAGCAUCACCUUAUACAACAUCAACUCUGCACAGUGUAAUAUAGCACCACUCAUUAUACAACAUCAACACUGCACAGUGUAAUAUAGCAUCACUCCUUAUACUGCAUCAACACUGAACAGUGUAAUAUAGAACCACUCCUUAUACAACAUCAACAAUGAACAGUGUUAUAUAGAACCACUCAUUAUACUAAAUCAACACUGAACAGUGUAAUACAGCAUCACUAUCAGGGUCUCAGAACAGAGGAUCCAGAUGCAUGACUCAUACGGAGGUUUCUUUGUCAUAAAAGUCUUUAUUACCAGAUAGCAGGUCAGACAAGCGAGGUUCAAAAGCCAACAAACAGAUACAGCAGGGAUAACGCAGUUUGUAAUAGAUAGUCCAGGAAAUGGGUUUCCAACAAACGGAUCAUAUCAAUGGUAAUCCAAAGAGUAGUAGUGGUCACAGGCGAUGGGUCGAAAAGAGACAGGUGGAAUAAGCUAAACUCGGAGGUCGGGGACGAAAUACAGUGGUGUGAAAAAGUGUUUGCCCCCUUCCUGAUUUCUUAUUUUUUUGCAUGUUUGUCACACUUAAAUGUUUCAGAUCAAACAAAAAAAAUUUUAAUAUUAGUCAAAGACGGCACAAGUAAACACAAAAUGCAGUUUUUAAAUGAAGGUUUUUAUUAUUAAGGGAGAAAAAAAAUCCAAACCUACAUGGCCCUGUGUGAAAAAGUGAUUGCCUCCCCUGUAAAAAAAAAAAAAAAAAAAAA